This 538-nucleotide long non-coding RNA is filed under the name Felis catus (domestic cat). RNAcentral's name for it is "lncRNA (ENSFCAG00000048624.1)". Lineage: Eukaryota; Metazoa; Chordata; Mammalia; Carnivora; Felidae. The record is from RNAcentral.
GUUUUGGAAAUCCUGGAAUCAUCACUUUCUGGCUUGAAAACCCCAUGAAGCAGAGAAAUCAGUUACUACUUGUCCUUGGAUCUUCAAGCAAGAAGCUGUUUGAAUUGAAACAUCAUGCCUUUGGUUCCUGCUAAGCAUCUCUCUGACAUGCGAAGUAAUCAAGACCUUCUGGUGAAACCAGUUCCCUCAUCAGGGUUCAGCAUGAUUGAUGGUGAUGUAAGGCUGCAUUGCUCAUGGAAUUUCAAGGAGCUAUGGCAUGUUUAUGCUGAAAGUUAUAUAAUGAAGUUGAAUGAAGCAGGUGUCAGAUCUACAUCUCUCUAUACACUUAUUUUACCAGUUCAGAAAAUGAAGAAAUGAAUUUCAUGAUGCCAAGUCACUGUCUUAGCUAAAUGUAUUAUAUCAGAUCCUAAUAGUGUCUCACACUAAUUCAUUCCUGUGUCAACAUCAUGUUGCUUAAGAGGAGACAGAACUAAGGAGAAUUUGCUUACUAGAAUGUGAAAGCUACAGGUCUGGCUAUAGGUAGGUACUGCAAAUGGUG